GUACAAUUUUUUGACCAUUUUUUCUGGAACGGAUGGACACAAAAUACCCUUGCUUCUAAACAAUGAUCAAAAGGUCAUUAAGGUUAAUUGUGUAAUACUUAAAGUCGGGUCGGUUUUUGUCAUAAAUUUAUAACCCGAUUUCAAUUUUCGGAUCUUUAUUAAUUAUGUUAGUCGAAAUCAAAAUAAUUUUGAAAAAGAAAAUAUGGUAAUAUUCUAUAUCGAACAAAACUAUUUACAAACCAAAAAAAAAUCAGCAUUAAUUAUCAAGUAUACAAACAUAUUUGUAAGAUUACACCAUCGGCUAAUGACUCACCAAAUUAUUAAUCCAACUUCCCUAAAUUUAACAACACAAUCAACUAAAUCAAAAAUGUUAAAGAUCUUUUGACAUCAUAUAUAGCAACAACAAUUAAUUACAUAUGAGCAUAAUACUAGCAUAUAUCUAACCAUUUCGAAUUUUUUUUAUGAAAGAUCAGUCAAUAUAUUUUAAACUUGCUUAUCAUAUCAACUUACGUUAUCAUCAUCUCAAAACAUUAUAAAUAUGUUUUCUUCCCACAAAACACCAGACUGUAAACAUAUUCAUUCACAUAACAUGCAUCAUCUUAACUUAUGUGAAUAUAAGUUUCUACGAAUUACAUAUUUUUCAUAUUACAUAUUUUAUCCAAAAAAAAAAGAAUUACAUAUUUUUCAAAAAUACUAAUACUCUAAUGGGUUGAAGUUGUAGGUGGAUAUUACGAUUUACGAUACACGGGACAAUAAGAAGUUUGGAUUUCGAAUGGCAUUCACAACCACAAUGCUCUCAUCAGUUAUUAUCUUGGUUAAUAUCACGUUGGUGCUAGAGUCCUCUCUCUAAAGUUCGAAAUUUAAGUCCAUUUGAUUCAACCCCUUUUUCGGUGAUUUAGUUUAUCAAAGAAUAUUAUAAUACAAAGAGCAUGAUGAUCUCUAUGAACUCUUUCGAGGUUAUAUUAAAACAUUCUAUGUUUUUAAACAUAUCAUAGAACGGGGUUAUAUUUAAACAUUUUAUGAUUUUAAAUAUU
RNAcentral lists this long non-coding RNA (1034 nucleotides) under Capsella grandiflora. Its description in RNAcentral is "long non-coding RNA (CGRA_LNC000682)". The record is from RNAcentral. Lineage: Eukaryota; Viridiplantae; Streptophyta; Magnoliopsida; Brassicales; Brassicaceae.